This 22686-nucleotide long non-coding RNA is filed under the name Malus domestica (apple). RNAcentral describes it as "long non-coding RNA (MDOM_LNC005426)". The record is from RNAcentral. Lineage: Eukaryota; Viridiplantae; Streptophyta; Magnoliopsida; Rosales; Rosaceae.
GUGCUUUUUCCUACGGUUUCGGCCUUUCAUAUUUUUACAUGCAAAUCCCACUUCUAAAAACAACUAUCAUGAAACUGAAUAUAUCUACACAGGAACGACAUCAGCAUUCUGAUUAUCAUCGCACGUCAGAAUGAGACCUUCAACAUAGGUCGGGAGAAGGCAGCGAAACCAUUGAAAGCCUGUUGACACAGGCUCCGUUGGAGGAACAAUCAUGACCACAUUAUCGUGGCGUCUGACAACCCCAAUCACACUUACAGUGCUGCCCUCUUUAAUAUACCUGAUGAGGAGGAAACAUAUUCUUAAAAGCCUCUAACUUGUGAACGACAGAACCUCACAAUUUGUAUAAUCAUACGCGAGUUUCUAGUUACAGGUUAAAUGUAAAAAUCUCUGACCAUGCAAAAAUUAUGACUAGAAACAAAAAAGCAGCAUACCCUUCUUUGAGGCGCAUUACACGGUCAUCGGUAGACAGGUUGCGCUCACCAAGCCAGCGCAAAAAACUUGGAGAUAACUCUCUGUUUUCCUUUGUCACGUCCACUACAGUAGCUGGUUUUACGAAUGGGGCAACCUUGGCUCCAUAGCCAGCUUUCACUAAUGCUCUUAAACCCGAUUGGAAGUCUGAUAUGUAGAAGUCAGAUACAUAUUUCUGUUAAAAAAAAACAUAAAAAUGUUAGGGCCUGUUUGGUAUUUGAUUUGGAUCCAAUGUUUUUAACUCAAAAACAAGUUUUGAGUCACAAAUUUAAAAUCUUUGUUUGGUAGCGGAUUUGAAUACAAUUCUCAAAACCAUAACUCAAAAAUAUCUGAAAACAAGGGCUAUUGGAUGAAAACACAAAAAGUGUGUUUUUAAACUUUUUAUUUUAUGGAUUAUCACUCCCGUCUCUCUCUCCCUCUGUCUCCUCUCUCCCAUUCGAUGUACUCCCUUACCUCUUCCCUCUUCAAUCCUCUUUUCCCUGUUGUCUUUCCAAUCCCUUCCGGCUUAUAUCCACCAUAGCCACCACCUCUAUCCUUCUCCCUCCAGCCAAGACAAAUCGAUCUUUCCCGCCUCUUCAAUACUAUCUUCUUUGUUGCCUCAAUCUUAUCUCUUCUCACUUGCAUCCACCAUAGCCACCACAUCUUCCCUAUGGUUGUUGGAUCUUAGGUUUGAGACGCCAACAUGAUUAGCCUCUGUCAGCGCGAGUUUGGAGUAAGGAGUUGGUACAUAGCCAAAGGAGUCGCCGCUAGGGAAGUGAGGGAUGUGGUGGUCAGGAAAUUGGUCUUUCGCCGCUGGGGAUGGGAGGGAUGCGGUGGUCGGGUAAUUGCUUGGGCUGGGCGUUUGACUUUUUCUGUUUGGAUUAGUUUUGAGAAAAUGCAUACCAAACAAAGAUUUGAAUUUAAAAUUUUUAAAUCAAAACAUGUGUUUUUAGAAAAAAUUAAAAUUUUGAGUUUCGUUCUCAAGUUAGAUACCAAACAGGCCCUUAAUAUUCCAGCCUGACUGAAGUCUUUAAAGUAAACAGAGAACUGCAUAUGCAGUCUUUUAUUUGUGCAAACAAUUGCAAAAGACAACGCGCAGAUGGCACCAUUUAUGGAACUCAGGUUAAUUGUACUGUAUUAUUGCCCCAACAAAAAUCCAAGCAAGAGUUUCAAAUUGUUUGCCCACCAGUGGAGGAUAACAAAUGCAUACAUAAAUCUUUCAGGUCUACUCAUAUCUGGCUAUACUCAUGUCAUGAAUCGCAUGAGCUAAUUUUAUCUGGUACUGCAUGCCUAAAAUGUUAAGUUUACAUAGUUUAUGAACACAUAUCUACAUAUAUGUAUGUAUAUAAUGGGUUUCACUUCUCAGGGCCCUGUCAGAUCAACGAGUGCAGUAUAUACAAAUCUUUAUUCUAAAUCAUCAUCAGUCAAACUUUGACAAUGAACGCAGUUCAGAGCACCUAAGCACAAAUAGUCUGACAACUAACCUCUGAAUGUCUAGAUUUUUUAUUCUCCGACUUGCGCACACAGCAUCCUUUAGAUUCACACAACUCGGUGGAAACAUAUACACACCUAGGUACCCUUUGGUAGGAUGAUUCCAACGGAAUACUGCCACAGGUAACAACCUACAUGCAGAGAUAUCAACAUAUUACAGCUGCGGUAGACAUGUGCCAUGUAGCUCUUCAGAUUGUAGAAGCCCACGGGGAAUAUCGACUAAAGCCAUGGGAUACGGCAGCUGGUGUUUUGGUAAUGUUUUGUCUUCUCAUAAAUUUGUUUGGUGUUUGUGGAAUAGCAAUAUUUGGAAGUCUAUUGUUAGAACACUCAAUUGAAUACCUUCUUGUUUUGGGCUUGUGGAAACAUAAUACAUCGGCAGAGAUUUUUGUUUUAUAUCUCUCAAUUUUAGUUUUUUUUUCCCUAAAGCAAUUUGGUCUGAUUUUUUAUUUGCAUUAUAUGACAUAUUGUUCAGGUUUUUCUUUUCUAUUUUGUUUUUACUUUGUUUUGAGAGCCUAAAUAAUCAUUGAUACUUUCUUAUACAUGGGUUAGUUCUUUUUAUUUUUUCUAGUUGAAUACCUGGGAAGAGUUGUGAUAACUCAAAGUAUACAUCAGAAAUCGAGCACAUAACAAAAUAAUGUAUCAAUUGACUGUUUGGUUCCAGUAUGAACAAUUUACGCAGGAAGACUAUACAAAUAAUAGACUUUCUGUCAUUAGACAUAUCCUUUACGUUUUUAUGGCAAGUGUUUGGAAUUGUUGCUUCGGACAAUCUCUUGUGACAAGAUGCUUAAACUGAUGCAUGAGAAGUAUAGUUCACUUUUCUCUCUGCAGAAUCGUGGCAUCCAGAAGUGUGAUUUCAAGUAUUCAUAGAAUUUGGUAUUGCAAUUUUGAGCAGAUAGUUGAAGAGGCUGGAGGAAAGGUUACGUGCAUGGAUGGUGGAAAUUUUUCUGUAUUUGAUAGAUCCAUCUUGGUAUCCAACUGUGUGCUGCAUGGCAAGGUUAGCCUUCUGCUUUAUCCAGAAUCUAAUUACAAAACCUUACGUGUUAAGAUCGAACUACGGUUAUAGAAUGCAAGAUCUUAACUUUUCAUUGCCUUUCUGUUACUACCACUAAUCUUGUUCACUAGUUAUAUAACCAUUAACGAAGAGUCAAAGGUCAAUUCAGUUUCCCUAACUUGAUGUAUGUUUCUACUCAUGAAGUGGCAAGCUUUCCUUUCCCUUUCCAUAGUUUUCCUCAAAUUUUUGUGCUAGGGUAGGUCAGGGUAGGGCUGGGUUCGGUUCUUAUCGGUUCGGUUUUUUGCCAAAACCGAAACCAAACCAAAAUUUCGGUUCGGCCCAAAUUUUUUUCGGUUUUUUUCGGUUCGGUUUUUUUUUCGGUUCGGUUUCGGUUUUUUUUCGGUUUUUUUUUUUUUUUUUCCUCCAAAAAAUGCAAAACAAGCACAACAUAAUAUAGGAAUAGAAAAUAUGACAUGUUUCCAUCUCUACGUAUAAAGUCUCAUAAAACUAAAAGUCUCAUAAAACUUAAAGUCCAACUAUAAAUAGAAUCAAUCAUCAAUCAAGUUUAAGUCUUCAAAAAGUCCAAAUUAAACAUCAAAGUUUAAGUCUUCAAAAAGUCCAAAUUUAAACAUCACACAAGUCAAAUAAACCUUCAAGGUUUCAUCACUUCAUGUCUUGCACAAAUAAAAUCUUCCAAGUCUUCAAGCUCAAGCUCAACGCAUAGGCGGCCUAGGAGGCAACAUAGCACCUUUCUUUGAGCUUCCCCUUGCCAUUUCUACAUACAAAUAAAAAUAAAAAUAAGAACAUGACAUAAUUGGCACACAUACUUGGCAUAAUUGAAAUUUCAGAUUAUAUUUUUGGCACACAUACUUGGCAUAAUUGAAAUUUCCAGCAACUAUAGUACAUAGUUACUAGCGAAGAAAACAAUACCGAUUGAUGAAAAUAACAUCUUGGAAAAUGCCUUCAUCUCUCUUAGACCGAUUCUCAUAAUUGCAGCCUGGUCAUUCAAAAUAAGCAGUCACAAUAAAAAGGUCGUACCCAGUGCAUAAGGCUCCCGCUUUACGCAGGGUCUGGGAGAGGUGAAUGUCGGCUAGCCUUACCCCCAUUUUAUGGAGAGGCUGCUCCCAAGAAAAUAAGCAGUCACAAUGACAUAGAAAAAGCAGAUGAGAUGUGGGUUCAACUUUUACCAAAAUUUUUGAGCUUACCUUUGUGUUAUUUCCCAUCUCCAACCCAUCCACAAAACCUGCUGCUAUGGCCACAACAUUUUUCAGGGUUCCACAUAGUUCUACCCCUUCCACAUCUUGGAUCUAUAAAUUUCAAACACGGAAAGGUGUCAAUGGAGCAUUCCAAUAUAAAUUUGAUGUCAAUCGCUAAAUCAAAUUAUAUGCUGGGAUAAGCAUUUAGCGUAGCUAACAUACUACCAAAUUUUUACUAAAUGUGUGGGAAACUAAAGUAGUUCCCGUCCGUGCCAAACAUUCAUGAUAGUAAAAAGACUAAAAGUACACUAUUAUGACAUUCAUUGUAACAAUGUAUUCGAUGUACUCACAGGUGUCAUAUAUCCCAUUCAGAGUGCAGUAUGAUAUCCAAAUCUAGGAGACAAAUUGGUGAUCCAUGGUGAAGGAAAAACAUAAAUGAACGCAAAGAUUAACCACGGAAACAAGGGCCUAGCCAUCAGUGCGUCUCCUACCGACAACCAUAUCGAACAAUAGGCCCAAAGUCAAAACCUUUUCGAUUUUAAAGUAUAAUACUGAUUCAUGAAACUAAAACAGAGAAUUGUAGCUAAGUGUGAGAUAGGUAAACGCAAGAUCUAUAAGUUUAAUCGACGAAAAACUCAUUACAAUUUUUGCAGAUCCACAGUUUUUAAAGCAAAUGAAAGAUGAUUUCUUCAAAAUUCAGCUAAACAAUCCCAUUUCUACAACCCACAGAAUGCAAACCUCAAAUCAUAAGAUCCAAAUUCGCAAUUAAAAACCGAUUCCAAUCAGAUCUACAGCAAGCAGUGAGAAACUACAAAGAUCUACACAUUCCAGCACACCCAAACAGCAUCACAAGUAAAUGAGCAACCUUUCUGAAUCAAACACCGCAACACACAGAACCCAAAUCGAAUCAUGCAAAAACAAUAUCGAAAAAUAUCCAUAAACAAAAAAAAUCGAAAACAACCCAAUUGAGCAAAACCACGAAGCUCGACGAAAUACCAAAUGAGCAGAGCAGAUGAAUAUUACCUCAGUCAAUGUGAGGCGGGAGGUCGACGGCGGAGAGAGCGAGAGAGAUCUUAUGCGGAAGAAGAGCGAGAGAGAGAAGAGAGAGGAUAGGGAGAGCUGUGUUCUUCUUCUGAUGGCAGUUAACGUAGGAGAUAUGAGGGGUAUAUAUACGCUCACAGCGCAGUGAAGAGUGCAUUAAAGAUCGUUGCUUUUUUACAUUGUUGCGGUUGAUGGCAUCUGUGAGCUUCUCACCACUUGGUAAUGUUUCCUCAACCGUACGGCUCUGCUUCUUCUUCACCUCAUCCGAAUUCUUCUCCAACGCCGCAUGCUCCUCCUUUUCGAGAUCCUUCUCCUCCAGAUCCGCCAAUCGGCGGGCCUCGGACUUCCGCGUGGCAGCCUCCGCCAGCUUCUCGGCUUCUUCCUCGCGCUUCUUGGCCGCGGGGGAUUUGCUGAUGAAGCAUUCUCGUUGCAGCCAUCCCAGGGAGUCGGUGACCCCCAAAUCUUUCCUCGCGCUUCUUGGCCACGGGGGAUUUGCUGCCCUUCACCUCGCACCAGUACUACUCGUCCUUCUCGCGAGCCUCGCGUUCCUUGCGCUUGGCUUCGAUGAAGCUCUUCACAGAGAGACAGAGAGAGUGAGAGAGAUGAGGCUCGGCUGCGCGAGAAGGUUACUGGGCUAGGUUACACUGGACUGGAGGCAGGGAAUGAGAGAGAGAAGAGAGGAAUGAAAAAAAUAAAAGGUGCGGCUAGGGUUAAAACUUAAAAGGUUUGUUGAUUGCUCAAAAAAACUAAAAAACUUUUUUGAAACCCUGGAGGCAUGAGGAUUCGAACCCAUGCGCAGGGGCUUGAAGAGUUUCAAGCAAACCAACUUGGUACCUGGUUAUGUCUUGUUAUGAUUGUAUCACUAAAUUAUUUAUAAUAUUGAAAAAAAAAUUAAAUAUAUAUAUCUGUUCGGUUCGGUUCGGUUUGGUUCGGUUUCCGAACCUUAAAAAUCGAAACCAAACCAGCCAGGUUCGGUUCAGUUCGGUUUGGCAGUUUCGGUUCGGUUUUUUUUCGGUUCGGUUUUUUUCGACCUCGGUUCGGUUUGGUUUUCGGUUUUUUUGGUUUUCGGUUAUUUGAACCCACCCCUAGGUCGGGGGGUGGGUGGGAGGUGAGUAGAGCAGAUGUUUACUGUAAGUCCGUAACAGAGCUUUUAGUAGUGCUAUAGUUUCCUGUAAAAGACGCGGUAGAUUGUGUGGAAAGUAAGAUCUUAGUGAAUAAGAAAACUGAAUCUUAGAGAAAGAGAAAGAUUAGAGAGAGAGAGAAUGUAGAGAGAGAAAGAGAAUUGUGAAAAUGAUUUUCAUUAUUUCAAUAUCUCUGUACAUGAAGUAUAUAUACAUAAAUACCAAAGCUAACUAUUUUAGCAUUCCCCUAACUAACCCAUACAGACAAGAACUAAUCUGGUGCUGUACACCUUUGGUAACUAUGUGAACCUACAGUACUCCUAACACACCCCCUCAAGCUGAAGGUAGAGGAUCGAACUGAAAUCUUGUCAGUCAGGAGAAACCGAUCGGCAGGGAGAGACUUAGUAAAAAUAUCAGCAAUCUGUGACAAUGUAUUAACAUGUUGAACAUCAAUCUGACCCAAAAGAACUUUCUCGCGGAUAAAGUGAUAGUCGAUCUCAACAUGCUUUGUGCGAGCAUGAAAGACCGGAUUGAAAGCUAGUGCAAUAGCACUCUUGUUAUCACAGAAUAUAACAGGUGUACGAAGAAGGGGAAAUGAAAGAUCAGAAAGUAUCUUGCAAACCCACGAAAUUUCUGCAGCAGUGUUUGCAAGUGACCUGUACUCAGCCUCAAUGGAGGACCGAGCCACGGUGUUCUGUUUCUUAGCACUCCAAGCUACUAAAUUUGGUCCCAAAAACACACAAUAGCCACUUGUACAUCGUCGGUCAACAGGGCAACCAGCCCAAUCGGCAUCAGACCAAGCAGUGAGAUGUUAAGCACCCUUUGUGAACCUCAGUCCGAAGUCAAUAGUGCCUUUAAGAUAUCUGAGGAUACGCUUAACAGCUUGCAAAUGAAUAGUUCGGGGAGUUUGCAUAUGUUGACACACUUGAUUCACUGCAAAAGCAAGAUCAGGACGAGUCCAGGUAAGGUACACCAACAAUGGACCUGUAGGAAGUAAGAUCUGCAAGUGGUGUGCCUGAGUGAUCCAGUUUAGAAGAAAUAAUUCUAGAAUUUAAUUUUUGUAAAAUGCAGCUCUUAGAGAGGGUUGCACCUGCAACAGAGAAAUUGAAGAGCCAAGGAAUCGAUUUCUCAUUGCGGUACAAGCCCGAAGAUUACACAAGAGACAUUUGAUGCGCCUGACAGUUCAAUUUUUUUUUUUUGGCCAAUGGUGCUGAUCUAAAGCUAGGGCGUCACCCGUAAGUGGUGCGCUGUGUGGCCCGAGCACAGUGAUAAGUGAGCAAGGGUCGCUGUAUCUCCAUCGGCACCCGGAUGCAGUGUUAAAUGAGCAAGGGGGCUAUAGAAACUUCUUUUCGAACGACUCCACUCAAAGUUGUUUGGGAGCAUAUGCUCCUAUCAACUUUACACGGGACACACAAAAGAAGUACUUUGAUCCUAUUAGACGGGGAAGGGUGAAGAAGCUAGGACAGAAGGGUAGAGUUCAAGAGAGCAAAAUGCGUUUAGGAACGUGGAAUAUAGGAACCUUGACGGGAAAAUCUAUGGAAGUAGUAGAAGUUAUGGUGAGGAGAAGGAUAAAUAUUAUGUGCCUACAAGAAACUAAGUGGGUUGGUCGUAAGGCAAAGGAUCUAGAAAACUCAGGGUUUAAACUAUGGUAUUUGGGCACAAAUAGAACGAGAAAUGGUGUUGGCAUCAUCGUGGACAAGACCUUGACACAAGAUGUUGUAGAUGUCAAGAGGGUAGAGAGAUAGAAUCAUGGCAAUCAAGAUUGUAAUAGGACACGAACUUAUCAAUGUGAUUAGUGCGUACGCACCUCAAGUAGGGUUGGAUACGAGUUCGAAGGAGAAAUUUUGGGAAGACCUUGGAGACUUGGUGCAAGGAAUUGCUCAGACGGAGAAGUUAUUUAUAGGAGGAGAUUUAAAUGGACACGUGGGCAGGGAGACAGGCAACUAUGGAGGUUUUCAUGGUGGCCAUGGUUUUGGGGAGAGAAACGAGGAUGGGGAAGCUAUCUUGGAUUUUUGCAAUGGCAUAUGAUCUCUUUUAGCCAACACCUUCUUUAAGAAGAGAGAAGAACAUGUGAUCACCUACAAGAGUGGGUCGUCAAAAACACAAAUAGAUUUUCUUCUAAUGAGGAAAGGGGAUCGUAUAACUUGUAAGGAUUGCAAAGUUAUACCAGGAGAGAGUGUGGCUAAUCAACAUCGCUUGUUAGUGAUGGAUGUACAUAUCAAAAGAGUGAGAAAAAAGAACAAGACUUGGAAGUGCCCAAGGACUAGAUGGUGGAAUCUAAAAGAAGAAAAACAAAGCCAUUUUCAAAGAGAAAGUAAUCACCCAGUGGUGUGUGGGAUAGAGAGGGGGAAGCUAACCAAAUGUGGGAUUCCAUGGCUAGUUGUAUCCAAAAAGUAGCAAAAAAGAGGUAUUAGGAGAGUCCAAGGGCUUUUGCCCCCACACCAAAAGGAAUCUUGGUGGUGGAAUGAGGAGGUACAAACAAAGGGUGAAGGCUAAGAAGGAAUGUUGUAAAGCCUUAUACAAGGAUAGGACCGAUGAAAAUGGUGAAAGGUAUAGAAAAGCGAAGCAAGAGGCGAAGAAAGCUGUGAGAGAAGCUAAGUUAGCGGCUUAUGACGAUAUGUAUAAGCGACUAGAUACCAAAGAAUGAGAGUUUGAUAUCUAUAAACUAGCUAGAGCAAGGGAAAAGAAGACAAGGGACCUAAACCAAGUGAGGUGCAUCAAGGAUGAGGAUGGAAAUGUUCUUGCUACAGAGAACGCGGUUAAAGACAGAUGGAAAGGUUAUUUUCAUAAUCUUUUCAAUGAAGGACAUGAAAGGAGUGCUUCUUUAGGGGAGUUGAGUAACUCAGAAGAGUGUAGAAACUACUCUUUUUAUCGUAGAAUCCAGAAGGAAGAAGUGGUUGUAGCUUUGAAGAAGAUGAAGCAUAGAAAAGCAGUAGGCUCAGACGAUAUAUACCAAUCGAAGUGUGGAAAGUUUUGGGGGAGAGACAGGUAUAACAUGGCUCACUAACCUUUUCAAUAGGAUUUUGAAAACGAAGAAGAUGCCAAAUGAGUGGCGAAUGAGCACUUUGGUGCCUAUCUACAAGAAUAAGGGCGAUGUACAAAAUUGCAUGAACUAUAGGGGUAUUAAGCUAAUGAGUCAUACAAUGAAGCUUUGGGAGAGAGUCAUUGAGCAUAGAUUGAGGCAAGAGACACGGGUUUCGGACAACCAAUUCGGGUUCAUGCCAGGGCGCUCAACCAUGGAGGCAAUCUAUCUCUUACGAAGAUUGAUGGAAAGAUAUAGAGAUGGGAAAAAGGAUUUACACAUGGUCUUUAUAGAUUUGGAAAAAGCGUAUGAUAGGGUCCCAAGAGACAUUCUUUGGAGGAUUUUAGAGAAGAAAGGAGUACGAGUAGCAUAUAUCCAAGCUAUACAGGAUAUGUAUGAAGAAGCAAAGACUGCCGUAAGAACUCAUGAAGGACAAACCGAAAGCUUUCCCAUAACUGUAGGAUUACAUCAAGGCUCAUCCUUAAGUCCUUACCUUUUUUGCGUUGGUAAUGGAUGAGUUAACAGGACAUAUUCAAGAUGAUAUUCCUUGGUGUAUGCUUUUCGCAGACGAUAUAGUGUUGAUAGAUGAAACUCAGGAAGGGGUAAAUGCAAAGCUUAACCUUUGGAGAGAAGUGUUGGAAUCUAAAGGUCUUCGCCUAAGCCGAUCAAAGACAGAAUAUAUGGAGUGCAAGUUCAAUGCAAAUGGAGGCCAAAACGAGUUAGGGGUGAGGAUCGGAGAUCAAGAAAUACCAAAGAGCGACUGUUUUCGUUACCUAGGAUCUAUCUUGCAAAAGAACGGAGAAUUAGAUGGAGAUCUCAACCAUAGAAUACAAGCUGGAUGGAUGAAGUGGAAGAGUGCAUCCGGUGUGUUGUGUGACCGCUGUAUGCCACUGAAGCUUAAGGGAAAAUUUUAUAGGACGGCAAUAAGGUCGCCGAUGCUGUAUGGCACAGAAUGUUGGGCGGUGAAGCAUCAACACGUACACAAAAUGGGUGUAGCGGAGAUGAGGAUGCUUCGUUGGAUGUGUGGGCACACGAGAAAGGAUAAGAUUAGGAAUGAGGAUAUCCGGGGUAAAGUAGGAGUAGCCGAAAUUGAAGGAAAGAUGAGAGAAAAUCGGUUACGGUGGUUUGGACAUGUGCAAACCUACUGACGCUCCGAUUAAAAGAUGCGACUAUAGGACAGAGGUUCAGGGUCGAAGGGGUAGAGGAAGACCUAGGAAAACUUUGGAAGAGACCCUAAGAAAAGACUUAGAGUACUUGGAUCUAACAGAGGACAUGACACAGGACAUAACACAAUGGCGUUCUAAGAUUCAUAUAGCCGAUCCCACUCAGUGACUUGGAUUUUCCAAGUCUCCAACCGAGAAGUUUUCCUCACUCGGGAAAUUAAGGGAACACUACCUCAACCUACAUGCUCCACUCACAAAUCUUCAACAUACAAGCUUCAACAAAAGAAAAUUCAAAGAACUUAGCGAAGAAGGCUUUGGUGUAUUUAACACAAUACGUUGAAAUGAAGGAAAGUUUAUUUAUUGAUAUCCCCGAUAAGUUACAAAUAUGUACAUAUACUUGAGUCAAAAUAAGCAAAUAAGAGGGAGCCUUCACAAAGGUUGCUUAGGAGAAGUCUUAGCAGUCGGUAGAGCCCCAGAAAGAGAAGGCACCGGAGGGGGAUCAUUCGGAGCCUCAGUACUGGACAAAACCCUAGAAGGAGGAGGCAUCAGAGGUUGAUCAUUUGGAGCUUCAUUACGCGGUACAGCCAAGAAGACGAAGGCAAUAAAUGCCUUUGGAAAAAACCCACAAAUCUCUGAUGAUCAAGUAAAACCUGACCAUCAGAUUCCUUCAUCUGGUCAAGCUUCAUCUUCAUGUUUGUAGCAUAGUCAUGUGCGAGCCGGUGCAACUGUUUAUUCUCAUGCUUGAGCCCUCUAAUCUCCUGUUUAAGACUCAUCACUUCGGCCGCCAAUGAUUCAACUUGGCGGGUUCGAGCAAAUAGGUGUUGGGCCAUAUUAGACACAGAACCUGCAUACUGAACACUGAGAGCCAGAGAAUCCUUAACAACCAACUCAUCAGACCGUUUGGAAAGUAGUCUGUUAUCUUUCGGAGUGAGAGGAUGUUCCUGGCCACUACCGCAGCGGUCAUAUCAUUCUUCAUCACGGAAUCCCCAACGGUAAGAGGACUAGUAGGGGAGACGAAGGGGCGCCAUAUGUUGUCUGGAGAAGGCGGGGCUGCCUCUUCAACAAGGUUCAAGUCAAAACGACGGUCGGAGGGGCCAGACAUUUUCAAAGUUGUUGAAGAGAGAAGAGGUCGGACAAAUCAAGAUCUUAGAAGUGCAAGAAUGGAGCUUCUACUGGUGGAUAUUCAAGUGUGCUUUGGAACUUAAUGUCAGCCCCUAUAAAAAUCUACACUCGACGAAGCUUCAGAAAUCGAAGAGGCGCCUGCUCAGAAAUCGAAGAGGCGUUUGCUUUCUCAAAAGUUGGGCUGCUCAGAGACCACGAGGGUCGAUCUCAGAAAUCGAAGAGGCGUUUGCUUUCUCAAAAGCUGGGCUGCUAAAAAACCACGAAGGCUGAUCUCAGAAAUCGAAGAGGCUUGCUUUCUCAAAAGCUGGGUUGCUAAGAGACCACGAAGGCCGAUCUCAGAAAUCGAAGAGGCACCUACUUUUCCAGCCUUGUCAGCACCUGUCACACGCACACUCAGCUUUGCGGAAAUUAUGGGCAUUCUGUCGAAGAUUUCUGGCGAAGUAGAAAGCACAUGAAUCAUACUGUUCACCAUACGCAACAGUAACUCAUGGGUACCACAGAUAACUUUGCCAAAGUUCUCUGACAAAGUUGAGACACGUGAAGCUUGCAGCUCCCGCUACAUCGCUCUGACCAAGAAGGGUAAAAGAAUUGCAAAGAAACAACACUAACAAAGUUUAGACACAUAAAUUUUAAAGGUCUAGCUACCAUAUUAUUACCCACAAGGGUAAAGGAACAGUACCACUGCUGGAUAAUUGGAAAGUCCCGGUGUGUCAACCUCUGUGCUUCGUGGCAAGGUAGACUAGCAAACAUGCCAACCUUUACUCACAUUCCAGAAAACACUCCCAAAAGGAUUGCUUGCUCCAAAAUCGAAGAGGCACCGCCCUCCGAAUCUCGAGAGCCAGACUCCCAACAUGAUUACUUUCUCAAAAAUCGAAGAGACACCGCUCUCCGAAUCUCGAGAGCCAGACCCCCAGCAGGAUUGCUUUCUCAAAAAUCGAAGAGGCAUCGUUCUCCGAAUCUCGAGAGCCAGAUCCCCGACAGGAUUGCUUGUUCGAAAACCGAAGAGGCACCACUUUCCCAACUUCAAGAGCUGGAUCUCCUUGGAUAAAGUUUGUCUGUAAUCUUCACACGCAACAUCAUCUUUCCAGAUACCACAUACCACUUUUUCAAAGUGCUCUGACAGAGUUAAAACAUGUGAAGCUGGCAGCUCCCACUACCGUGUUAUGACCAAGCAGGGUAAAUGAAUAGCAUUAUUACUUGAUGUUAGGGAAACUCAUAUAUAUGUCGACCUCCAUCCCUAACGGACAGGCAGACCUGCAAAAAUGCUCAACCCUUUCUCUUAUCUGAGAGGGCACUCCCAACGAAGCCUUUCGAAAUAUUCAGCUUUCUUUCCCCCCGAUAAUACCUCUGUAAACAAGCUAUACUAGAGCAAGAAUAUCUCAUAUCAUCAGGGUUAAAAGCAAGAGUAUCUCAUAUCAUGUUUUUUCCCUGUCUUUUCCUUUGGCCUUGUUCUUACCUGCAAGACAAUGAGAAAGAGAGCAAUCAGUCAGCACUUGGAAUCAAGCUUCCAGCCAGGAACUGACUGCCUGGAACCCCUUACCUGAUUACUUACCUGGCAUUGCUCUCGAGUACUCAUCUUCAACAUCUUAUGCUUCCAGGGAAGAUACCGCAUCUGCCUGAGGAACAGAUAGGGCAAGUGAGAAGGAUACAAGGAAGCAUGUGGAGACAAGCGUAACAGCACACGUGCCGAUACAUCCACUACUCUGUCAAAAGAAAAAGUAUCCCAUAUCAGCAGGGUCGAACGUACUCUAGAUUUGAUGGACUUGUUUUGACCCUCAAAUUCUUCAGUCGGCCUUAUACUCUGGAGGAAACCAGAAAACCCUCCAGCCCGGUUCAAGAAUAAGCCUGUGGAAAGUUACUUCUUCAAAAGCAAAAGUAUCCCAUAUCAUCUCUUCUCAUUUUUCUUCUCUUUAUCCUUCAUGCUGCCUGCAAGAUAGGGAGAAUGUGAACAAUCAGCCGGAGCUCUGAUUGCUUACCUUGUCUGUCACCUCUUUCAGCAGAUCCCCUAGCUCGGCGACUUGGGGGACUCCUACUACAUGGUUUGUAUCGCGCUUGACCAAGCCUGAAACUACAAGUAAGCUUCAAGUGAGAUUGAUACAUUACCUUGUGCAUCUCCACCAGUUACAGAUACCACCCCUGGAUGGAGGAAGAGUACUUCCAGAGAAGAUGCCACAUCUACCUAUGAGACAGAUAAGGCAAGUCAAGACGAUACCACACUCCGGUACUUAGAAGUUUCGUGGUUACGAGAUCAUUCUCCCACAAUAUUUCCUAAUGUCAUUUGUACUAAAUCAUUCACUUGUACUCACUAAAGGAGAGCUUGAACCUAUGUACUUGUGUAAACCCUUCACAAUUAAUGAGAACUCCUCUAUUCCGUGGACGUAGCCAAUCUGGGUAAACCACGUACAUCUUGUGUUUGCUUUCCUAUCUCUAUCCAUUUAUAUACUUAUCCACACUAAUGACUGGAGCAAUCUAGCGAAGAUCACAAAAAGUGACCGUUUUCGCUACCUAGGAUCUAUCUUGCAAGAGAACGGAUAAUUAGAUGGAGAUCUCAACCAUAGAAUACAAGCUGGAUGGAUGAAGUGUAAGAGUGCAUCCGGCGUGUUGUGUGACCGUCGUAGGCCACUGAAGCUCAAGGGAAAAUUUUAUAGGACGGCAAUAAGGCCAGCGAUGUUGUAUGGCACAGAAUGUUGGGCGGUGAAGCAUCAACACGUACACAAAAAUGGGUUGUAGCGGAGAUGAGGAUGCUUCGUGGGAUGUAUGGGCACACGAUAAAGGAUAAGAUUGGGAAUGAGGAUAUCCGAGGUAAAGUAGGAGUAGCCAAAAUUGAAGGAAAUAUGAGAGAAAAUCGGUUCCGGUGGUUUGGACAUGUGCAAAGAAGGCCUACUGACGUUCCGGUUCGAAAAUGUGACUACGGGACAGAGGUUCAGGGCCGAAGGGGUAGAGGAAGACCUAGGAAAACUUUGGAAGAGACCCUAAGAAAAGACUUGAGUACUUGGAUCUAACGGAGGACAUGACACAAAACCAAGCGCAAUGGCGUUCUAGGAUUCAUAUAGCCGACCCCACUUAGUGGGAAAAGGCUUUGUUGUUGUUGUUGUUGUUGGCCAAUGGUGCUGAUAUGAAUAUUGCUUUCCUAUGUUGCUUUAGGCAAGUGGAAUAGGUGUGAAUUGCUGUAAUUCAGAAAUAAUCGUCGACAACGAUCAUGGAUCGAUCUUUAUCGUCAAGAAAUUGGUCGUAUGUGGAGUCACUACUCUCUCUUUACAGAAGCAGAAAGAAAAAUGUGAAUUUGGGCAGUAGUUGAAAGUGUAUCAUCCUUUCAUUAUUAUUCUGUUCCCAUCAUUUCUUACAUACGCACUUGUCUUAUUUCUGCUUUUAAUAAAAUAAAAACCAGAAACUCCGCAACUUAGAGUUUAGGACUAAUGUCGACACCCAGGAUAACAAGCCCUUUCUUCUAUUUCGGAACAGUUUGACGGAGCGUAAAAUCCAUGCGGCCAGAUGGCGUAGGCGGUUUAAAUUCACCAACUCGGAUAAUACUCCAACUUCCUCUUGGUAAUUUCCUCAGAUCCUGUGUACAGGCUUUCUUGUCGUUCCCAGGGAGAGUGAGGCUGAAGUUGACAUUAUCUUCCCAUCCGUAAUUUGGGUCCUUGAGCCUGAUCACAAAUGAAACUUCAUACACAGUAUCGGGUGUCAGGUAUUUGGUGUCAAAAGCCCCAUUCACAUCUAGCCAGCAUACAUCUAACAGUUCAGCAACGUCAACGGAGGCAUCUCUGCAAUUAAACCCUAAGUUAGGACCGAUUACUACAUAGCAGUAACCAAUAUCAAUUGUGAUAUACGGAUUCAAGUUUUCGGUACCUGGUUACUUUCAAAGGGUACCAGCGCCAGUAACGACGGUCUCCACUCCAAAUGAUUGUGAGAUCUCUUGCAUACAACAUAAAACAGUUCUUGCCAUCCUCAUCAACCCAAUAACUUUUCUAAUAAUAGUCAAGAAAAUAAUAGGAUAAACAUGAUUGUUGAUAUAUUUCAAGCUGUAGUAAGAGUUCAUCUUUUAAUAUAUUUAAAACGCAAUGAUUUCCGCACACUCGUUUUCUUCUGUUGCACACCCUGUUUAUUUAUGCCCUUUAAUUGAUUCUCCUUUUGUUUAUGCAAAUAUUCAAAUGCAAUAAACAAACAUGUGUGUCCAGACGGAGAAAAUGAGUGUGCUAAACAUCAGUAAGAAUUAGGACAAUUUCACAUUUCUGAAGCAUGUUUGAUAAUUUCACACAAAAACUGAAAAACAAAGAGCGGGAAAUUCUUUUUAAAAUGGUCAGAAAGUUAAAUGCAUGGAUUUCACCUUUUUCUCUGCGUCGAAAUAAUCUGUAUAUUGGUGCUCCGAAAGGAGUUUAUCAGGUGCGGGCCUGUCUUUAGGUUUGAUUAAGUUGUCCAUAAUCUCUUGAUACUGAUGUGGCUUUUCUGCUGGGGGAGCCCCUUGCGCAGCCAUCUCUUCGUGCAGUUCUUCAAUCAUGUUUUCACUAUAUAUACAGGAAGACAGGGCUAAGCCAUUCAUUUCCACAAGUCCCCGCAACAUGUGGAUGAGGACAAGAAAGAUGCCUUACGUUGCGAACCUUUUAUUCUUUAAAAUGUAGGUAUCAAGCAUGAAUUCCUUUUAUUUUACUUUGGAAUUUCGAUCAUAUGGGAAAGCACUAGAUUGAAAAGCACUUUCAAAAAAGCCUUUUAUUCCAUAUGCUAAAGCUUUUGUUUGUUGAUCAUAUAUAUUUCAUUAUGCAGAAGAAUUGCAUUCAUUCUCAGAUAAUACAGAAGAAAGAUGCCUUGCGUUGCGAACCUUUUAUUCUAUAAAAUGUAGAUAUCAAGUAUAAAUUCCUUUUAUUUUACUUUGGAAUUUCGACCAUAUGGGAAAGCACUUUCGAAAAAGCCUAUUCUUCUAUAUCGUGUAUAUUCCAUCAUAUAGAAGAAUAGCAUUCAUUCUUAGAUAAUGCAUCAUAUCCGAUAUAUUAUUCCCAGCUUAUAAAGCAAUAUUUGAAUUUGUAAGUGCUUACUGUAAGUCCACAACAUACCCAAUUUUGUAAGGUUUAUUCCACAACCCAUAGGCCCCAACAUGAAACACAAACCCUAAUUUAAAUUCUAUGUAUUAAUUCAUCUUACAAACAACCCAUUUAUUCCAUAAAUAAUUGAUAUCGAAACUUGGAACUAAGCACCCUACCUUACUAUGCUUGUCGAAGCUUCAGUCACCAGAAAAAAUAGAACUUUCCAGCCAAAACAAAAAAUAUGGAUACAAAACCCAGCUCACUCCUCUCACCUCUCUCGCAUCCUUUGUUCGAAAUCAGAAGUAUAAGGUUAACCCAAAAUCUAGCUCACUCUUCUCACCUCUCUUUGGACUUCACUCUCUUUGAAAUUUGAGACCAGAGAUCUGAGCUCAACCCAAAAAUUCAUAGCUCUCUCCACAUCCCUUUCUCCCAAAUGAGAAAAGUGAUGUAAUGAACUGAUGAUUUUUAGUAUUUAUAUGUGGGUAUUUUAGUAAAUUUGAUUUUGUGCAUGGCAUAGCCGGUUUAUCCUAUUUUUGUUCCAAAAUUAAGAAAAAUGCCUAUUCUUUUCCAUUCCAAUAAAUCAAAUUGAGACAGAAGAUGAAGAAGAGAGAAGGCUGGUGGAAAUCUCAAUCAUUGCCAUAACUUUCAAUUCCAACUUCAAAGGGUGGAGGAGGAGAUGAAGGAGAAGGGUGGUAGUGGAAUCUCUGGAAUGACCCCUUCAAUUUUUCCAUUGCUGCAAUUGUCAGUCCUUCAAUUGGAUCCAGUCCAUGGGGGGGACUUCACGGACAACGUGCAGCGAGCGAGAGAUUGUUGCAUAAAAACAAAGAACCCGACUAAUAACACCGAAGUUGUGAAGAGGAUAAAUAAGUGGGUGUGUGCCGUAUAAAACUGGUAGGGCCGAAUUAAUUAUUCGGUGAUUAUUUAGUAUAUAAACAUACCAAACAACUAACUUCGAAUUAUUAAUAUUAUCCGAUUCUUUAUACAAGUUGCCAAACGAGACGCGUAGUAUGUAAUUAGCUUCUUAACCGUUUGGACUAGAAUUUUCUCCUCUCUUUUUUCCAUCCUUUCACAUUUUCUUAUUUUGUCUUUCUUUUGCUUUAAAAAUUAAUAUAAGAUGUUAACGUGAUUUAACAGUGACUGUUGAAAUAGAAGAGGAGAGAAAGAGAGGAAAAAAAGGAAAGAAGAUCAUACUCCUAACCGUUUUCCUCGAUGUCAGGAGGCAAUAAUUGUCAGUUAAAAAAAAAAGGGUAAAGUACAAAAAAUUACCUCAACUAUUGGGGUCACGACACUUUCAUACAUCAUCUUUUAAAAUUGACAAUGUCAUACCUUAUCUUACGAAUUUGUGCCAAUGUCAGACCUCUGUCAGUUUUUCUGUUACUUUUUCUGUUAAAUGCUGACGUGAUAAAAAACAUGACCCAUUUUUUAUUAAAAAAUUAAUUAAAUAUUAAAAAUUUAAAAAAAAAAACAAAAAACCAAAAACAACACAUCAACCCGUGUCCCUCCUCCCCCAAAACCCAGAUCCCUUCUCUGAGUUAUCCCCCACCCAACCCCCUCUCUCUCUCCUCUCUCACAUCUCUCUCCCUACAACCUGCAUCCCUAAAAUCCCAAAAGCCAGAAAUCCUUCCCCCCCCCCCCAACCUUCCUAUCCGAUCCCACCGACGACAACCCUACCUCUAUUGUUGACUUCAGUGAUGACAGCCACAACCCCCAAUCGCCCCCUAACCCUAACUCUAGCCACAACCUCCACAACAACAUUCCCUUUUCCUCCUCGCCCCUGAAGUCUGCCCCUUCAACGAUUUGCAAGAGAAAAACAAAACAACAACAACAAUCCCAAUAGAAAAACUCUCCCUUUUUCCCAAAAAAUUUGAGAUUUUCCGAGAAAAUCAGAGGAGGCGCGAUAAAGAGAGAGAGAGUUGUGAUCUGAGAGUGGCUCUCUUUGGUCUGAGUUUCCGAUAAAUGGUGUAUACAGAUGGUCGGAUGAGGAGGAGAGAGUGGAGGUGAUGUCCAUGGCGAUGGAUUCUGAGAGGGCGAAGCCUCUGCACAAUUUCAACUUGCCAUAGUAUUUGUAGUGGGGGAACCAGAAGCACCUGUGGUGCCAAAAUGAGAGCUCCGAUGCCAGCGGGAGUGGCGGGGAAGGGUCUAGGGUUAAUUGGCGAUCGUCGGCUUAGAGGAUUGAGAGCUCGCCGACGGUGAUGACUCGGGUGGGAAUGGAUUCUGGAUUUUGGGAUUUUAGGGAUGCAGGUUGCAGGGAGAGAGAAGAGAGAGAGGCGAGAGAGAGAGAGAAAGAGAGGGAGAGAGAGAUGAGAGAGAGGGUUGGGUGGGGGAGAACUCAGAGAAAGGGAUCUGGGUUGUGGGGAAAGAGAUGGGGAAGUGGUUUAACAUGCAGUGAAAGUGCUUUUGCGAGAAGUGCUUGUUCGGUUCUUUUUGGGUUUUGAGGUUUAUGGAAUUUGCGGCCGAUGGGUAUAUAUAUGUGGAGGAGGGAGGGAGGAGAGAGUGGGGGUAGAAAAGGGGAUUGAGAUCUCGCUGGUGGUGAUGACUCGGGUGGGAAUGGAUUAUGGGUUUUGGGAUUUUAGGGAUGCAGGUUGCAGGGAGAAAGAAGAGAGAGAGGCAAUAGAGAGAGAGAGAAAGAGAGAGAGAGAGAGAGGAAAGAGGGUUGGGUGGGGAAGAACUCAGAGAAGGGAUUUGGGUUGAUGGGUUUUUUUUGGUUUUUUUUUUUUUUUUUUUUUUUUAAAUUUUAAAUAUUUAAUUAAUUUUUUAAUAAAAAUGGGUCUUAUUUCUGGCCACGUCAGCAUUUAACAGAAAAACUGACGGAUGUCUGACAUUUGCACAAAUUCGUAAGAUGAGGUAUAACGUUGUUAAUUUUAAUUUUAAAAGAUGAGGUAUGAAAGUAUUGUAACACCAAUAGUUAAGGUAGUUUUUUGUAUUUUACCAAAAAAAAAAAAAAAAAAAAAAAAAAAAGAAGAGCGAAGCAAUUUUUGGGGUGUGCUAUCCACACACCCCAUUUUACUUCUUACACACCCCUUGAUAAUUUCUGUCCGUUGAUCUUCUUCAAUUCAUCCGAUCCGAUGGCCGAAAAUUAAAAAGGUGUGUGAGAAGUAAAAUGGGGUGUGUGGAUAUCACACCCCUAUUGUCUCUGCCCGCGCUUUUGCUCAGCUAAGAAAACCAAGUCACGGAGAAACCCAAGAAAAAUGGAGAAAUCGAAGAUUGGGAGGAGGUUCCAAGGCAAGGUAGCGAUUGUGACGGCUUCCACUCAGGGCAUCGGCUUCGGCAUCGCCGAGCGCCUGGGGUUGGAAGGCGCCUCCGUCGUCAUCUCCUCCCGCAAGCAGGUCAGUCUCCGACACUCAUCAAUCCUUUCCUCCUGAAUCUUUGAUUUUUUUACAUGAAAUUCAUCUGGGUUUUUCUUCAAUUUUAGUUAAAUUUGAUUUCUUUCUGGUUUCCGCGGAUAUUGGGAUCGAAAAUUGAGCCCCUGAAUUUCGUUGUGUGUGGUUGAUUGUUGAAAAUGAAAUCAGGCUUUUUUUGGGAUAGAUUCUCGAGAAAGCACUUCUUCUUAUAAGUACUUAUGUUAGAAAUGUUUAUUAUUUUAAUUGAAUAUUCAAGUGCUUUUGUGGAAAGCACAUGGAAGUACCUCCUGAAAUGCUCUCCAAAAGUGCUUCUAUGAUCAAAAGCUUUUAGUUGGCAGAAUGCGCUUUUAGCCUUUCCAAUAGCAGUUGCAAACAGACCAGAUUUUUCCCCGUGUAAUCCCCUGGAAUGAUGAAGAGAGGAAAGUUAAUGAAUACUGCAUAUCAUGAACUUCAAUCAAGCUAAAUGGUACAUGUUUUUGUGUUUUAGGCUGUUUUGAAUGGUUGAAUUUUCAUCGUGCUUGGUCAAAUUGUUCCAGAAAAACGUUGAUGAAGCAGUUGAGAAACUUAAAGCUGAAGGAAUUGAGGCGUUGGGAGUAGUUUGCCACGUUUCGAAUGAGCAACAAAGGAAGAAUCUCAUCAACAAGACUGUGCAGGUAAGAACAUUCGUGAGUCCAUGAUUUUACAUUCACUGUUGAAGCAAGACACGAGAUAUAAACAGAAAACUAUGAAAAAUGUGGGAUGUAUAGGUUUUAUUUUAGUUUUACAUACGAGUUCAAAAGCUCGCAGAUGUAGUAGGCUACAGUGUUAUGGUGAAUUCUACUUGGUUACAACCUCUGAUUUAACUCACCUUCCAAAGGGGAUGGUCUCUUCUCCGUUGCAAUGAUUCUUCAUGUCAUUCCGUUGAACGUUUGAAUUUUACUGAUUUGUUUGCAGAAAUACGGAAAAAUAGAUGUGGUUGUAUCAAAUGCUGCUGCCAAUCCAUCAGUUGACCCCAUAUUGCAAACCCAAGAAUCUGUGCUUGACAAGCUAUGGGAAAUCAAUGUCAAAGCUACUAUACUACUUCUCAAGGUAAAAGACCAUAGGAAGACAUUAUCGAGCAGCCAAGAGCUCCUUUCCCAUGGAAAUUUUCUGCUCGAGCUGCAAUAAACAGUUGCCGAGAACUUUUAUACGACUUAUUUUGUCCUCCACUCCCAUUUUCGAUGUGCAUAAAUUUUUGGUGUAGUAUGCUAGGUUAUAAUACUAGAUUAUAUUUGCAGGAUGCAUCUCCGCACUUGACGAAGGGUUCUUCCGUUGUUAUCAUUUCCUCAAUUGCUGGCUACAAUCCACCAGGAGCUGCCAUGGCUAUGUAUGGGGUCACUAAAACAGCCCUUCUUGGGUUAACCAAGGUAUGUAGGUGGUUCCUGUUUUACGCCGUUUGUUUCUUAAGCUCUGGAAGCCACACAUUUUCUUCAGCUUAUUCUUUGCUGGUCCUACUUUAGGCCCUUGCCGGUGACAUGGCGCCAGAUACUCGUGUAAAUUGUGUUGCUCCGGGUUUUGUUCCUACAAACUUUGCUUCAUACAUUACAGAAACUGAUACCGUGGUAAGUAUAUAUGUGCAUAUAUAAAGGCCAACGUUGGGAUAUAUAGUUCCCUUCCAAGGGAUCUUGGGCAAUGGCCAUUGACCUUUGUGGUUGACUGAACUCGAAUGGUAUUUUGUUGCAGAGGAAGGCCCUCGAGGAGAAGACGUUACUCAACAGGCUCGGUACCACUGGAGACAUGGCUGCUGCCGCUGCCUUUUUGGCAUCCGAUGAUGCUUCUUACAUAACCGGAGAAACUAUAGUAGUGGCCGGAGGGAUGCCCUCUAGACUCUAGUUCCCUUCUUUAUCAACAUGUUUUUGCUCGAAUCAUUACAAGAACAAGUUUUUUUUUUCAGCAAAUAUCAAUAAAAUUCACUCCUAUCGAUUUUCAAUGUUAAUUUUCGCCAUCACAUAUAUCUCACAAGGAGAGUAAUUUUUGCAUUUACAAUCUUGGACACGAAACAUUAACGCUACAUAAUCCCAUGCUUAAUAGAAUAUUAACAUUUCCUUCUUGUCACAAACAAUACACAUUACAAGAUGAAAUACAAAUACACGUGAGGCCAGACGGUUUAUAACCAAAAAAAAAAAAAAAGGAAACCACAGAAAACCCUAGUAACUACUUUGUGUACUGCAAUCGAGCAUCAGACGAAAGGCACCCCUUUGGGCACUCUAUGAAGCUAUGACUUAUGUACACGAAAUCAGAGCAUCCUGAUUUCCGACGUUACAUCCAUCAUCUACAAACUUCUUCAAAGGGUGGUCGUCGGGCCUUUUUGCCCUAUUACAUUACCACCUCCACAGCAUAUUAAUCCAGAGUAAGCUAUCCUCAGUCUUUCUGAACUGCAUCUUUAGGCUUACAUACACUUAACCACGAAAGGAAAGAACAGAGCCGGUUGUCGUAUGUGCUUUUUCCUUUGGUUUUAGCCUUUCAUAUUUUUACAUGCAAAUCCCACUUCUAAAAACAACUAUCAUGAAACUGAAUAUAUCUACACAGGAACCACAUCAGCAUUCUGAUUAUCAUCGCACGUCAGAAUGAGACCUUCAACAUAGGUCGGGAGAAGGCAGCGAAACCAUUGAAAGCCUGUUGACACAGGCUCCGUUGGAGGAACAAUCAUGACCACAUUAUCGUGGCGUCUGACAACCCCCAUCACACUUACAGUGCUGCCCUCUUUAAUAUACC